Long non-coding RNA from Pseudoliparis swirei, 3462 nucleotides. RefSeq lists it as uncharacterized. Lineage: Eukaryota; Metazoa; Chordata; Actinopteri; Perciformes; Liparidae. The record is from RefSeq and is a predicted model, not a curated record. The transcript has 5 exons.
UCCAACCUGAUCACCCUCAUUUGAUAUGGUGAUACAGCAUUGUGUAUCUUCUCUACCAGAUACGUGUCUAGUUCAUCUAUAUCCUCUUGCAGCGUGUCAUUUGUUGCUGUAAGAACCAUGAUUUGUUUCUCCAAAUUGACUACAAUAGCUUUAUUGUGAACCUUAUGCAGAGAAGCGGCCUGUUGUGUCUGUUUCAGCUCUUGGGCCAUCUUCUCUCCCUGAGACUUGUAUUCUGCCUCCACAGCCUUUUUUCUCUGGAGUUCCACAUUUGUCUUUUUGAGAGUCUCAGAGACCUGUAUAUUGUCCUUUCUAAGAACCCGAUUCUGUUCCUCCAACUCUGCUAUUGUAUGUUGAUUCGAAGUCCAUUCCAGAUUUUGUUCACAUCUUUCUCUCACAUGCUGCUUACUUAUCUCUCUAAGUGCCAGUACCUCUUUACCCAACUGGACCAUCUUAUUUUUCUGAGACUUUAUUUCAUUCUCCAGGGCCUUGCGUUUAAUUGUUUGCCUACGCAAUAGUCUCUUUGCCUCUAUGACUUUCAGCGACUGCGUCACAUGUGUUGUGCAGAUAUUACCACGGCAGUUGUUUAAUGCCUCUUUCGAUCGGACAACGAUGUGUGGGCUUGGGCUGAUUUCUCGUGGAUUCAACCAUGUUACUGUUGCUGUGUGCACGCUGGAUUCUGGAUUCAAUCUUUUUCUUUUUCCUGGCUGCAUGCUUGAUUCUGAAUAUUCCACAUUGAUUUCUGGAUUGGAUCUUUUUCUUUUUGCUGGCUGCACGCCGGAUUCUGAAGUUUCCAGCUUGAUUCCCUUUGGAUCGGGUGCCUGGUUUUCCUCUUUGCUUUCGGCAAAACCAAACAUGUUUUUCAAACGCUUAAGCAUUGUUGGAAUAAAUCUUGAUCAAUGGUCUCUGAAAUUAAUCUUAUCUUAUACGUCCACUUGUACAAGAAAAAACUGCACCUCUAUGGCUACUGGCUAUACCUACUCCGAUAUAUAGAAAAAAAGAUCAAGGUCACCUUCAUGACAAGGGACUCUAUGACGUCAAUGGAAUGCGCUUUGAUCUGGCUCCGCCAUGUGAGUGAAGUCUCAUUCAUUGGUUCUCGCGAGAUCUCAUGCCUCAGUCUACCAACACAUUCACCGUAAGCUACAGUUUUACAUUGUUAGCUGCUAAUGUUGUACAACUUUAGCUAUCGAGCAGGGGACCGGGAGCUUUCCGCCAGCUGAACCAGAGUGGAUACCGGAGAAAACCCCGCUGUGUCGGCUGGGUACGAUGUCGGUAAACAGGCAUUUUGGUCACCCCUUCUGCUGUGGCUCAGGCAGAGAAGAAGAAUAGAGAGGCUCUGUCGACUUGUCCCUCAGCUCAGGACAGGUCUGGAGGCUCACCUGGUGUCGGCCAACUCCCGAUACAUCCAGGCGCAACAACAGCAUGUUGGGCGACUUCGGGGACGAGAUGGACCAGACGUCGUCCCGCAUGGACUCAGUCCUCAAGAAGCUGGAGAAGGUGUCCCACAUGACCAGCAAUCCUGGUCACACCUGAUUAUCCCUCAUUCCCUUCACCUGGUCCUCACGCCCAUCUCACCUGCAGCCCGUUUCCUCAUUAGUCUCUCACUACUUAGGUCUCCUCAUUUGCAUUUGUCCUUUGCUGGAUUGUCUUGUGUGUUCUGAUCUACCUGUGCUAACCCUGUCCCGCCGACCCUGGAUUUGACCCUGGAUUUGACCUUGGAUUUGUUUGCCUGUUUUGACUGACCUCCCGGUUUUGACUCCCUGAAACUGGAGAAAGUAUUUUGCUUGUCCAUCUGAUUCUGAGUCGUGCUUGUGAGUUCCAGUACCUGUAACCCUUGCAGAUAGAAAAGCUUCAUGCCGUUCUACAUUUUUGCUGCUCGUUAUGAUUCAUGUUCCUGGGUGGGAGUCGGUUGCAGAGAGAUUUUGUUUGAUUUAGCUGCUGCGUCAGGCAGAAGAUACUGACAUUAAACCUUAAAUGAUGAGAAGUGAUGCUUCCUGUAGGAUUCAUUAAUAUGUCUUUUCUGCUUCACAACUGCUUUAUUUAAGUUUGUCAACAUAAAUGACAAGCAAAUGGAUGACGCAGAUGAUCAAAUAUACCACCAGGACAGCUUCAGUCAGAACUGAUGCUCAUAAAUUAGCCAGGAUGGAGAAACUGACAGAUGAAUUCACUUUGAUAUUAAUGUCAUAUUCUCAUCCUCUAAUUUCACACUUUUUUUUGUAAUUUUACAUCACUUAAAUUUAAGGUCAUAUGAUAUACGAUAUAAGGUGAUAUUCGAGACUGGGAGCAUUUCUGUUGCUUUUUUAUGUUUAUGAAAACACGAUUCUUCUCAUCAGGUGAUUAAUGUAGAACAUUAAAUUAUUGGGCUGAUGCUUUUGCGAAACACUUGGUUAAGCUUAACUAAAACAAUGAUUUUAAGGCUCAUCACUGCCUAAGACUGGGAUUCUGUAAGAAAUCCGACUACCUCAGAAAGACAAAUGGAACUCGCCAGUGUGGAUCGACGGCUCACGACUUCAUGGUGACAAAUCGGGUUCGGUAUCGUUUUAGGAAAUAUCUGAUCAAAAGAUAUUAACUCAAUACCUUUCUUGAGAGGUCAUUAGAAACUGCCAACAAAGAGUACAAAUAUAGGAAGACAUGAGAACUAAUAAUUCUAACACUGUUUAUUUAACAUCCGUAUCCACCUGAUAAAAUACACACAAACGCAGGGGUCCGAGCAUAUCAGCGCAAAACACAAAUACACACGCGGGCGCUGUGUUGAAGGCACCAUUAGCACGCUCGGUUAGCUGAGCAGAAUCUAAUUCCCCAGAUUGAUGUGUGAAAGGUGCAGAGGGAAGAUCUGAUGACAUCACACAGAGGGAUUUAGACUUUACUGCACUAUGUCUGUACAGUCACAAUAGUUGUUUGUUGCUAUAUAUAUAUAUAUAUGAAGAGAACUCAGGGAAAAGUACUAAAAUGCUUUUCUGGUCUCUUAUUAAAAAAAUAUCCAAAGUCCAAAAAGUGACCAAAUCAUUUCUGAGUGACUUAAUCCUUGUCCUUUUCUUUAUUCUAUAUUAAUUCCUGGUCAUAUGGUCGGUCUAUCUGCCCACUAUUGUGCGUGUUUAGAGAAAAGAAGCACGGGGGAUCAGAGUUUAAUCUCUUGUGUGGAGCACUGUAGUGUGAAGGGCCCCUCUGGAAAAGCAGAAGAGAAAUACUUGGCAUCAUUAAAGUAACUUCUUUUAAAUCACUUCUUAAACCCAUUGUUAUAGAACAGAUUUUAAGUGAUGUCGUCCUUUUAUGCAGUUCUUUGGUUCCCCUAAUUUAGUUUGUCUGUUUUUUCUAUUUUCUAUGUGUAUCUUACCAUUCUAUUUGUUUUGCAUUGAUUCUCUGUAGAGCACUUUGUAAACUCUGUUUUUAAAGGUGCUAUAUAAAUAAAGUUAUUAGGGUCCUCGUCGACUUCGUCGUAGAGGAACCUAUUGUUAUUGUAACGAU